RNAcentral lists this ribosomal RNA (495 nucleotides) under uncultured bacterium. RNAcentral describes it as "partial 16S ribosomal RNA". It matches the Rfam family "Bacterial small subunit ribosomal RNA", at positions 28 to 507 of the family's 1533-position model. The record is from RNAcentral.
GACGAACGCUGGCGGCGUGCCUAAUACAUGCAAGUAGAACGCUGAAGGAGGAGCUUGCUCUUCUGGAUGAGUUGCGAACGGGUGAGUAACGCGUAGGUAACCUGCCUGGUAGCGGGGGAUAACUAUUGGAAACGAUAGCUAAUACCGCAUAAAAUUGAUUAUUGCAUGAUAGUCAAUUAAAAGGUGCAAUUGCAUCACUACCAGAUGGACCUGCGUUGUAUUAGCUAGUUGGUGAGGUAACGGCUCACCAAGGCAACGAUACAUAGCCGACCUGAGAGGGUGAUCGGCCACAUUGGGACUGAGACACGGCCCAGACUCCUACGGGAGGCAGCAGUAGGGAAUCUUCGGCAAUGGACGGAAGUCUGACCGAGCAACGCCGCGUGAGUGAAGAAGGUUUUCGGAUCGUAAAGCUCUGUUGUAAGAGAAGAACGAGUGUGAGAGUGGAAAGUUCACACUGUGACGGUAUCUUACCAGAAAGGGACGGCUAACUACGUG